UGCAUGCAUGUGUGUGCAUGUGCAUAUGUGCAUGCGUAAGCACAAAUAAGCACUCACGCACACACGGGACAGUAUGCAC
This 79-nucleotide microRNA precursor is filed under the name Microtus ochrogaster (prairie vole). RNAcentral describes it as "miRNA (ENSMOCG00000007494.1)". The record is from RNAcentral. Lineage: Eukaryota; Metazoa; Chordata; Mammalia; Rodentia; Cricetidae.